Molecule: ribosomal RNA, 253 nt
Filed under: uncultured bacterium
Lineage: Bacteria
Description: partial 16S ribosomal RNA
Rfam family: Bacterial small subunit ribosomal RNA
Source: RNAcentral
UACGUAGGGGGCAAGCGUUGUCCGGAUUUACUGGGCGUAAAGGGCGCGUAGGCGGACAGUUUAGUCAGAGGUAAAAGCCCAGGGCUCAACCUUGGAACUGCCUUUGAUACUGGCUGUCUUGAGUUCGGGAGAGGUGAGUGGAAUGCCGAGUGUAGAGGUGAAAUUCGUAGAUAUUCGGCGGAACACCAGUGGCGAAGGCGACUCACUGGCCCGAUACUGACGCUGAGGCGCGAAAGCGUGGGGAGCAAACAGG